UAACUAUUUUCGACUUUGCCUUCCACCGACUAUUUUUGGAGGAAUUCUACACUGUCACACUUGCACCACGUCAUCAAUAACAAGCCAAUCACAUUCCUUCUUUUUAAACAAAAGUACAAUAAAAAUACUUUUUUACAAUCAUGAUGGGACAUAUAUUCUUAAAAGGAUUAAUUUGAUUGGUUUGUUACGCCACGUCACUAAUAUACCCGUUGCAUUCUAGAAUUUUUACUAUUUUUGGUGGG
This 242-nucleotide long non-coding RNA is filed under the name Ananas comosus (pineapple). Its description in RNAcentral is "long non-coding RNA (ACOM_LNC015607)". Lineage: Eukaryota; Viridiplantae; Streptophyta; Magnoliopsida; Poales; Bromeliaceae. The record is from RNAcentral.